UUUUUAAUGAACAAAAGAAAGGGAAAAAGUCCAAGGGAAAUAAUUAUAGUGGAUUCCGCAUUAAAUCCACAGGAAGCUUCAGAGCAGACCUGGGUUGAAUCUGACAAAAGGAAAUGCAUGUGCAAAGGUGCCUCCCAAGCCCAGUCGUGGUAGAAAGUGGCAUCAGAGAACCAAAAUGGGAAAUAACUUUGCUUUUUAAGCUCACUAUUUUAAGGGGGGAAAAAUCAUUCUUAAUUUUGGAAUCUGCUGAAACUUAAGUUGAUGCUAGUCCUAUUUCCUUAAUACAUAACCUUCCUCUCUUAUGAGAGCUUUUGAUGUGACUCAUCUUGCAGGUGAAUAGUGAAAAAUUAACUGCCUGUGUUUUUAUUAACAAUAGAAAGGUGUGCACUUCUAAACAAAAUGGAGGCUCAUGAGCAAAACAUGCGGAGCUGCCCUGGCAAUGAAGUGAAGAGACUUGUAACUUGGUGCCUGAGCCUGUGCUAAAUGAGGGAGGGAACGGAAGGAGUUCAUUUGGAAUCAGAAGACUAAGUGAUAUGUUGUCGGAGGGACUUUGGAAUCCAGUUUAAUGGAAAAAGGAGGCCCCUGAGUCUUCAGCGUCACAAACAAUGACUGUUCCUGGACUUGUGUGACCACACAUCCCAGGCACUUAAAAUUGGGAAAUUUGGGGGAAGCAAGAUGGCCAAAUAGAACAAUCCAGCAAUUCUUCCCAUGCAGUAAUACCAAAUUUAACAACUAUCCCCACAAGAAAGCAUCUUCAUAAGAUACAAAAAUCAGGAUCACCAGGCUUCAGUGAAAUUCAACAUUGUCAAUGGAUACCCAGCAGACCAGGAAAAGUGAUCCAGUAUGGUCAACUCUAAGACUUAUAUUUGCCUUUAAAAGGUAAAGGCAAAGAAGGAGGUGAUGGAGGAGGAGAAAGAGAAUGAGAGAAUGGGAGAAGGGAGGACGAGCUGCAGUUACAGCAGC
Molecule: long non-coding RNA, 963 nt
Filed under: Homo sapiens (human)
Lineage: Eukaryota; Metazoa; Chordata; Mammalia; Primates; Hominidae
Description: HSALNT0310663
Source: RNAcentral